Molecule: ribosomal RNA, 22 nt
Filed under: uncultured Streptomycetaceae bacterium
Lineage: Bacteria; Bacillati; Actinomycetota; Actinomycetes; Kitasatosporales; Streptomycetaceae
Description: partial 23S ribosomal RNA
Source: RNAcentral
GGCCAAGUUUUUAAGGGCGCAC